RNAcentral lists this ribosomal RNA (253 nucleotides) under uncultured bacterium. RNAcentral's name for it is "partial 16S ribosomal RNA". It matches the Rfam family "Bacterial small subunit ribosomal RNA", at positions 524 to 776 of the family's 1533-position model. The record is from RNAcentral.
UACGGAGGAGGCAAGCGUUGUCCGGAAUCAUUGGGCGUAAAGAGCGUGUAGGCGGCCAGAAAAGUCCGCUGUGAAAACUCGAGGCUCAACUUCGAGCUGUCGGUGGAAACUUUCUGGCUAGAGUCCGGAAGAGGAGAAUGGAAUUCCUGGUGUAGCGGUGAAAUGCGCAGAUAUCAGGAAGAACACCCGUGGCGAAGGCGGUUCUCUGGGACGGUACUGACGCUGAGACGCGAAAGCGUGGGGAGCGAACAGG